RNAcentral lists this ribosomal RNA (490 nucleotides) under uncultured bacterium. RNAcentral describes it as "partial 16S ribosomal RNA". It matches the Rfam family "Bacterial small subunit ribosomal RNA", at positions 30 to 507 of the family's 1533-position model. The record is from RNAcentral.
AUUGAACGCUGGCGGCAGGCCUAACACAUGCAAGUCGAACGGUAACAGGAAGCAGCUUGCUGCUUCGCUGACGAGUGGCGGACGGGUGAGUAAUGUCUGGGAAACUGCCUGAUGGAGGGGGAUAACUACUGGAAACGGUAGCUAAUACCGCAUAACGUCGCAAGACCAAAGAGGGGGACCUUAGGGCCUCUUGCCAUCGGAUGUGCCCAGAUGGGAUUAGCUAGUAGGUGGGGUAACGGCUCACCUAGGCGACGAUCCCCAGCUGGUCUGAGAGGAUGACCAGCCACACUGGAACUGAGACACGGUCCAGACUCCUACGGGAGGCAGCAGUGGGGAAUAUUGCACAAUGGGCGCAAGCCUGAUGCAGCCAUGCCGCGUGUAUGAAGAAGGCCUUCGGGUUGUAAAGUACUUUCAGCGGGGAGGAAGGGAGUAAAGUUAAUACCUUUGCUCAUUGACGUUACCCGCAGAAGAAGCACCGGCUAACUCCGUG